GUCAGUUUUUCUUAAAUUAAUUCUUUGAUCUUCAAAGUAACACAGUGUAGAUCUGCCAUCCCAUCUAAAGCAGGGAGCGGAAGUGAGGGUCUAGUGUUCUCAGGCGAAAUAGGAAACAAAGGAAUUGGAAUGUUUGGCCUUAAACACGAAUAAGUAUGGCAACUGUUUUUUUCUUUAUUUCUUGAGGGGCCAUUUGGUGGUAUGGAGGAAGCUGGAUUGGGGUUCCCCUCUCGACACCAGAAGCACUGGGGCUACUGUUUCCU
Molecule: long non-coding RNA, 263 nt
Filed under: Bos taurus (domestic cattle)
Lineage: Eukaryota; Metazoa; Chordata; Mammalia; Artiodactyla; Bovidae
Description: long non-coding RNA NONBTAT005993
Source: RNAcentral